UGUUGGUAAGGGCAAACUUAUUGAAAAAUAAGGGCGCAAAGCUAUGGAUCUAAGGGAAUAUUAUAUUCCUAUGAUUGCCAGGUUGCCGAA
Regulatory RNA element from Alkaliphilus metalliredigens QYMF, 90 nucleotides. It matches the Rfam family "c-di-GMP-I riboswitch aptamer". From Rfam's summary of the family: GEMM was predicted in a large-scale screen for bacterial structured RNA regulatory elements. Genes associated with GEMM are involved in a diverse array of functions, including chemotaxis regulation, signal transduction, secretion and chitin. NCBI's taxonomy places the organism in Bacteria, Bacillati, Bacillota, Clostridia, Peptostreptococcales, Natronincolaceae. The record is from Rfam.